Ornithorhynchus anatinus (platypus) is the source of this 1449-nucleotide long non-coding RNA. RefSeq lists it as uncharacterized. The record is from RefSeq and is a predicted model, not a curated record. NCBI's taxonomy places the organism in Eukaryota, Metazoa, Chordata, Mammalia, Monotremata, Ornithorhynchidae. The transcript is spliced from 2 exons.
UACGAAGCGCUCUCGAGGAUGCGAGCGUUUUUAAGAUCACCUACCUUGAUUUCCCUCGCAGACGGGACAGCUUUCGCCGUCGUUAUUAAAAAUGACGUCUCCGAUUGAUCUGAAUUGUACAUCUGAAAAUCAAACUAUUGACCGGUUACAUUUUAGUGAUCUACUACCGACGUGAAAAUCUGGGGGCCACUCCGGACGGGUCCGGUUGUGAAACGCCUCUCGUUUGAGUGCCGCCAAUCACUGAACUCCAGAUCCUCGAGGCAUUUAACCAGAAAGGUGGAACCAACCCCAGAGCCGAGCCAGGUUACUUAAUUCUGGAGCGUUUCCAUUUCCGUACUGUUUCAGCUCCUCUAUCCGACACGUGUGUUUAUCAUUUUUACAUAUUUUCUGGGAAUCUGUUUGGGAACGGCAAUAUCCAGCAUCUCUGCUUCUGCCCCCCGAUUUACACGUAUUUUUUCCCUCGGUAGCAAAACUUCUAGGCAGUCGGGCAGGAUGGGUUGAUCGGAAACCUCCCAGGAUGAUUUACUGAAGCUUUUUGUCUUUUGCGUUUUUGGUGCAUUUAUUACCUUUUGAUUCCUUUCGAUUCUUUUAUGAUGACAUUUUUCUCGUCAGGAACCAGCAAGUUAACUCGGCACGCGGAUCCACCGACCUCGUCUUCGUUCAUUCGGUAGUAUUUAUUGGGCGCCCACUACGUGCAGAGCCUUGUUGAGCAUCCCGUAUGGACUGUCCAAAUGUCUCCAGCCACCCUCGCUCUUAAAUCGACUCUCUUAUCUCAUAAAUCGACUCUGAUAACAUCGGCUCUCCGCCUCCCCUCUCCGAUUCUCCAACCGCAUACCUCAGGAUCUCCAGCUGACCCCCCUUCAGGCCAACUUCCACUCAUCUUCAAGCCUGGACCCAGGGAAAACUCGGCCUUUUCUUUAAGGCGUUUUGCGGAGAGUUGUUCAGCGGAUCUUAAAUUGCUUUUUGUCGUCCGUUAAAACAGCAAAGGGUUUCCUCUUAGGUAUUGGAACGGAUUCACCGAUGGGAUAUCGGCAUCCAAGAUGCCAUUGCAAGCUGGACGUGUGUUGUGCAUUUGCUCUCUGUAAGGAUCAACUGUUAUUCUCUGGCUAAAGGCGACAUAAAGUUGUGCCGUGGUUCGAGGGGCUCUUUAAGAUUGGGUUUAUGGGGGGGGGGGGGGCGGGGUAGGUAGCGACUACUUGGCCGGAAUCUCCUGUCCCCAACCCCGUGCCAUUAAAACCGCCCUUAGGAAUGGGCCGCUCAGCCCGUCGUUUUACAGGGUUGACGUGUCGAAUGCAGCACUUCCUCCGGAGUAGAAUCUUGGAACGGUCUUAGCCGGAAUGUAUUUGUAAAAUAACAUGUUGUCACAGUACUGGGAAAAUGUGAAGGUAUGACUGUCAAUAUAUUUAAAGUGUAUUACAAUACAGUUUCUUGAGUUUCUGCAGUGUGAAA